GACUCCUUAUGAGGAAUGUGAGAAGCCCAAGCCAACUCCUGCUCCUUACCACUACAUAUCUCCUCCGCCACCAACUUAUGUCUAUAAAUCACCACCACCUCCACCACCAACUUACCUAUACAAGUCACCGCCACCACCAGUGAAACCUCCACCAAAGCCGUAUUAUUACGUCUCCCCACCACCACCAACUUAUGUCUAUAAAUCACCACCACCUCCACCACCAACUUACCUAUACAAGUCACCGCCACCACCGGUGAAACCUCCGCCAAAGCCGUAUCAUUACGUCUCCCCACCACCACCUACUGUAUCUCCACCGCAUUAUUACUACACAUCACCACCACCACCGGUGAAACCUCCGCCAAAGCCGUAUCAUUACAUCUCCCCACCACCACCGGAGAAAUCUCCACCACCACCCUAUCCUUACAUCUCCCCGCCACCGCCGGAGAAAUCUCCACCACCACCCUAUCCUUACAUCUCCCCACCACCGCCGGAGAAAUCUCCACCACCGCCCUAUCCUUACAUCUCCCCGCCACCGCCGGAGAAAUCUCCACCACCACCCUAUCCUUACAUCUCCCCGCCACCGCCGGAGAAAUCUCCACCACCACCCUAUCCUUACAUCUCCCCGCCACCGCCGGAGAAAUCUCCACCACCACCCUAUCCUUACAUCUCCCCACCACCGCCGGAGAAAUCUCCACCACCACCUUAUCCUUACAUCUCCCCGCCACCGCCGGAGAAAUCUCCACCACCACCCUAUCCUUACAUCUCCCCGCCACCGCCGGAGAAAUCUCCACCACCACCUUAUCCUUACAUCUCCCCACCACCGCCGGAGAAAUCUCCACCACCUCCAUACCACUACACCUCACCUCCCCCACCCGAAAAAUCACCUCCUCCACCAGUCUACACUUAUGCUUCUCCCCCACCCCCAACUCACUACUGAGCUCCAACAGCUCCGCCACUUUCCACCUUCAAGAA
RNAcentral lists this long non-coding RNA (972 nucleotides) under Coffea arabica (coffee). RNAcentral's name for it is "long non-coding RNA (CARA_LNC002214)". Lineage: Eukaryota; Viridiplantae; Streptophyta; Magnoliopsida; Gentianales; Rubiaceae. The record is from RNAcentral.